Molecule: unclassified non-coding RNA, 537 nt
Filed under: Hevea brasiliensis (rubber tree)
Lineage: Eukaryota; Viridiplantae; Streptophyta; Magnoliopsida; Malpighiales; Euphorbiaceae
Source: RNAcentral
GAUUCCAUAUGGACUGCUCAUAUCAUAAAAGAAUUUUGGGUCUGUUUCCGGCGAGAAAAACCCGGAAGGCACCGGAGAUAACAUCGCCGGUGCCGGUGAUAGGAUCCCUGGAAUCUGACCUAUCUCNCUAACAUACCCAUCAGAUCAUUUCUUUCUUCAAUGCUUGUACUGCUUCUCUCUCUCGGACUUGCCUUCUCUGUUGCAGCUAAUCUUGCUUCUGGUGAUACUUCUCCGUCGCCUGAGAAGUCCCCAGAUGAGAGUCCCGUUAGGCGCUGGACCACGGCCAUGAACGGAUGAUUUUCGGGGACACUGCGUAGAUGAUCACUGGUUGCUGCUGCGCUGGAGGACGUGGUGGUUUCUUGAUUUUGUGAGAGACUUGAUGGAGUUUAAGUGCUGGAGGGCGAAGGCCUUGGAUUUGGUUCGGUUUUUUUGGUGGUGAUGGUGAACUUGACGGUUGUAGAGGUGGUGGCUGCUGUGGCUUUGACCUUCCUGGCGGUGGAGGUAGAUUCCCGCCGGUGGCGAAGCCGGAGGGGUCCA